UCUAAUAUGGCAGAUUUAGUGCAAUAAAUUUAAGAUUUAUACAUGAGAUUAUUAGUCUUUGUUAGAA
This 67-nucleotide transfer RNA is filed under the name Paphnutius ruficeps. Its description in RNAcentral is "tRNA-Leu". The record is from RNAcentral. Lineage: Eukaryota; Metazoa; Arthropoda; Insecta; Hemiptera; Cercopidae.